CCUGGUUGAUCCUGCCAGUAGCAUAUGCUUGUCUCAAAGUUUAAGCCAUGCAUGUAUAAGUCCACACGGCUGGAAAAGUGAAACUGCGAAUGGCUCAUUAAAUCAGUUAUGGUUCCUUUGAUCGCUCACCCGCUACUUGGAUUCGCACUGGAUAACUGUGGCAAUUCUAGACAAUACAUGCAAACGAGCCUGACUCCGGGGAACGUGCAUUAACAGACCUAAAAACCGCGCGGCGCGUGCCGCGUGGGCCCCCGCCUGUUUUGGUGACUCUAGAUAACCUUGGGCCGAUCGCUCGCCCUCGCGGCGGCGACGACUCAUUCGAAUGUCUGCCCUAUCAACUUUCGAUGGUACUCUAUGUGCCUACCAUGGUGACCACGGGUAACGGGGAAUCAGGGUUCGAUUCCGGAGAGGGAGCCUGAGAAAUGGCUACCACAUCCAAGGAAGGCAGCAGGCGCGCAAAUUACCCAUUCACGACUCGUGGAGGUAGUGACGAAAAAUAACAAUACAGGACUCUUUCGAGGCCCUGUAAUUGGAAUGGAUGUACUUAAAUCCUUGCCAGUACAAAGGAGGGCAAGUCCUGUUCCACAGCCAGCGUAAUCCAGCUCAAUAGCGACUUAAAAAGUUGCUUGCAGUUAAAAAGCUCGUAGUUGGAUCUCGGGGCCGGCUCACGUCCGCCAAAGGCUGCCACCCGUCCGCCCCCCGCCCCUAGGCGCCCCCUCGAUGCUCUUGUUGAGUUCUUGCGGGGUCGAACGCUUACUUUGAAAAAAUAGAGUGUUCAAAGCAGGCCCAGUUGCACGAAUACGCAGCAGGAAUAAUGGAAUAGACUCCGUUCAUUUGUGGUUCUCCCAUGGACGGGCCAAGAAUAAAGGACGGCCGGGGCAUUCGCAGCGCCGCAAGAGUAAAUUCUUGGACCGGCGCAAGACGGACAAAGCGAACAGCAUUGCCAAAAUUUUUCAAUUAACAAGAACGAAAGUCGGAGGUUCGAAACAUCAGAUACGUCGUAAUUCCACCAUAAACGAUCCGACUACGGAUUCCGGCGCGUUAUUCCCAUGACCCGCCGGGAGCCUACCCGGAACAAACCAAAGUCCCUUGGGUUCCGGGAGUAAAUGUCACAGCUGAAACUUAAAGGAAUAACGAAGGCACCACCAGAAUGGAGCCUGCGCUAUAAUUUGACUCAACACAGGAAACCUCACCCGCCCCGACACGGAAAGGAUUGACAGAUGAAUAGCUCUAUCUCGAUACUGUGGGUGUGGUGCAUGCCCGUCGUAGUUGGUGGAGCGAUUUGUCUGUUAAUUCCGACAACGAACGAGACUCUCGAAGCUAAAUAUUAGCGACGCGGCGGGUCGGCGUCCAGAACUCUUAAGGGACAAUUGCGUACAGCCGCACACAGAUGAGCAAGAACAGGUGACUGAGCCUUAGAUGUCGCGGCUGCACCGCGCACACUGGGAGACGACCAACGGAGCCUGCCCUUCGCCGCAGGCGUGGUAACCCGCUAAACACCGCUCGUGAUGGGAUUGGGGACUGGAACUAUGCCCAUGAACGAGAAUUCCCAAGUAACACCUUUGGGACACUGCUCGCGUGAUUAAGUCACGCCCGUUCGUACACACCGCCCGUCGCUACUGGGACUAGGCAUUGAGCUGAGUGCGUCCUCGAUCGCCGCCCGCCGGAGCCUUCACGGCUCUGACGCGCCCGUCGCCGAGAAGACGAUCAAACUUGACUAUCUAGAGAGAAUCAAAGUCGUAAACAAGGUUUCCGUAGGUGAACCUGCGGAAG
Molecule: ribosomal RNA, 1773 nt
Filed under: Melanogrammus aeglefinus (haddock)
Lineage: Eukaryota; Metazoa; Chordata; Actinopteri; Gadiformes; Gadidae
Description: SSU rRNA
Rfam family: Eukaryotic small subunit ribosomal RNA
Source: RNAcentral